This 253-nucleotide ribosomal RNA is filed under the name uncultured bacterium. Its description in RNAcentral is "partial 16S ribosomal RNA". It matches the Rfam family "Bacterial small subunit ribosomal RNA", at positions 524 to 776 of the family's 1533-position model. The record is from RNAcentral.
UACGAAGGGGGCUAGCGUUGCUCGGAAUCACUGGGCGUAAAGGGCGCGUAGGCGGAUCUUUAAGUCGGGGGUGAAAGCCUGAGGCUCAACCUCAGAAUUGCCUUCGAUACUGGAGAUCUUGAGACCGGAAGAGGUAAGUGGAACUGCGAGUGUAGAGGUGAAAUUCGUAGAUAUUCGCAAGAACACCAGUGGCGAAGGCGGCUUACUGGUCCGGUUCUGACGCUGAGGCGCGAAAGCCAGGGGAGCAAACGGG